GACGAACGCUGGCGGCGUGCUUAACACAUGCAAGUCGAACGCUGAAGCUUGGUGCUUGCACUGGGUGGAUGAGUGGCGAACGGGUGAGUAAUACGUGAGUAACCUGCCCUUGACUCUGGGAUAAGCCUGGGAAACUGGGUCUAAUACUGGAUACGACAUGCCACUGCAUGGUGGUGUGUGGAAAGGGUUUUACUGGUUUUGGAUGGGCUCACGGCCUAUCAGCUUGUUGGUGGGGUAAUGGCCUACCAAGGCGACGACGGGUAGCCGGCCUGAGAGGGUGACCGGCCACACUGGGACUGAGACACGGCCCAGACUCCUACUGGAGGCAGCAGUGGGGAAUAUUGCACAAUGGGCGGAAGCCUGAUGCAGCGACGCCGCGUGAGGGAUGACGGCCUUCGGGUUGUAAACCUCUUUCAGCACGGAAGAAGCGAGAGUGACGGUACGUGCAGAAGAAGCGCCGGCUAACUACGUG
Molecule: ribosomal RNA, 472 nt
Filed under: uncultured bacterium
Lineage: Bacteria
Description: partial 16S ribosomal RNA
Rfam family: Bacterial small subunit ribosomal RNA
Source: RNAcentral